Molecule: RNA transcript, 3461 nt
Organism: Erpetoichthys calabaricus (reedfish)
Lineage: Eukaryota; Metazoa; Chordata; Cladistia; Polypteriformes; Polypteridae
Gene: copz2
Gene name: COPI coat complex subunit zeta 2
Exons: 10
Source: RefSeq, a predicted model, not a curated record
GGCGGCGCCACCCAGCGUCAAGUUACCCGGCAGCUACGUGUGCAGUUAAAAUGACAACUCCAGGCUGUCCACGUCAACACAGAAAUACUCCAACAUGGACACGGUGGCUCUGGAGCCUUCACUUUACACGGUCAAAGCUGUCUUCAUACUGGACAACGAUGGCACACGCCUGCUGGCCAAGUACUAUGAUCCUGAUUUAUUUCCAUCCAUGAAGGAGCAGAAAAAUUUUGAAAAGAAUGUUUACAACAAAACACACAAAACUGACAGUGAGAUUGCCUUCCUAGAGGGAAUGACUAUUGUGUAUAAAAGCAGUAUUGACCUUUUCUUCUAUGUGGUGGGCAGUGCCCAGGAAAAUGAGUUGAUGCUAAUGUCGGUGCUGAACUGUCUCUUUGAUUCCCUGAGCCAGAUGUUGAGAAAAAACAUAGAAAAACGGUCAGUGAUGGAAAAUCUAGAUGGAGUCUUCCUUGUGGUCGAUGAGGUCAUUGAUGGAGGAGUCAUUCUGGAGAGUGAUCCUCAGCAGGUUAUCCAGAAGAUUAAUUUUAGGACCCUGCCUGAGCCGGCCUAUGGCUUCGUUCUCUUUGACUAUAUCACGGGUAACACUGAGCAGCAGGGAGACAAGAGCCAGAAAAAAUAAAGGGGGGGAAGGACACCAGUUCAGGUUGAUGACAGCCCCCUGUCAGAACAGAGUGUGUCUCAGGUUUUGCAGUCGGCGAAAGAGCAGAUCAAGUGGUCCAUACUGAAAUAGGACUGUGGUGGCCGACAUAGUCCUUUAGAAACGGACACAAAAGCAAACUUACAUGCAUUUUUUUUUUUUUUUUUUUGCCAAUAGUGUUUUUAUCUGGACUCCUUGGACCUUUCAUUAUUUAUUUUGAUAACGAAAAUAAGAGUCUGCCAAAAACGAAAUGCUUUAUCUCCCGCUAUUUGCAAGACACAAACAUCUUAUUCUAUUUAUAUCACAGUGUUUACAUUAAAAUGAAUGACGAUGCUACAAAAUUCCUGAAUUUCAGUUAAAAAAAAAAAGUCAAACUUAUGUUUUAGUCAAAGUAAUGUAAAGAGAGCGGCUCAAUUAUUGCAAUUGUUUCGUUUGUGGAUCAAUACAGUAGAUACGGACUUUGGUGAAUUGUCAGUCUUGUUGAAAGGAACAGCCAUUCAGACGUGCUGACGAAAAGGAAAUUUUAAUAACAUAGAACUGUAAAGGGAUUGUUUAAACGAAUGCAUGUCGCGUUGUAUUAAUCAGUUCAAUACAUCUGUGCCAGCGAUCAAACGUCUACUGGGGUCCACUGUCUGAUCCACAGUCGCGAUAAUUUUGUUUUUUUAUUAAGAUGACAACAAAAAAGGCCAAAAAUCAAAUAAUGCAAAUUCCACGAUGUACAAACUCAGACUGACUGAGAUAUAUUUACUACACUAUAUCUGUGCAUUUAAUUGCAUCAUUACAAUUUUCACCUGCAUGUCACGUCGACCACCCUGUUUUCGAAAAAGCUUUCUUUUUAUGCUUAAAAAUGUGAACUCUUACCGCGAGCUGCAGUGCUUCGAGACUUGCAAAGAUUUCAUAAUUCGUAUUAUAUUUCAAUACAUUUUUUCCCAGUUUUGAAGGAUUUUUGUAAAAAUGUAAAUGCAACCAGUCUCCAAAGAUCGGUUAGUGCAGCAAUAACAACAACAAUAAUAAUAAUAAUAGUAAAAUUUUGUAAAACGUAUGUAGAUCGCAGUUGGUGAAACAACUAACUAAGCAUUAUACUUUUAUCUGUAUGCCACAUCUGAUAAACUCAAAAAGGGUCUUGGGAAGUCCGAGGCUUUUCCGGCAGCAUCGCACUGGACGGCGUGCUGGUCACCACAUCGCAGGACACACCAGCACGCACACCCUCACUAAUUUUUGAAUAUUCGUCAAAUUCGAAUUAAAGCCAUGUCUGUAAUUUCUGAAUGAAAAUGUGUCCAGUGCAGAAAUGGACGACAGGCAGCAGUUCAGUACAAUUCCACUUUCACACGAGUCAAGGCACACGUAUGUAAAUUAAUUCUGCAUCUAUAGAUCCAGGACUUUUACUAAUGAAGUAGUUUUAUAAUGGCUCCAGUAUAUUAGUUGACCACUUGUCGUAGUCAGUAGAAAAACUAGCGGAGCAAAGUGUGUAGCUUUAAAUGUAAUUUAACGAAAGAAAUAUAUUUAUUAUGGCCCAAUGUGACUUCUUUUAAAAAAUAGUAUUGUUUACUGCUGAUGUUAACAUUGACUUAUAAAGGUGUAUAUACAGUGAUUUUGUGCAGUUUCGAGUGUGUAUUUUAUAUUUUGCAGUGUUUUACUGAAGGAUGAAAUGAAAGCGUAUUUUCUAAAUACAUAUAAAUUGCAAAUAUAAAUUGUAAUACCUGAAAAUAUUUAACAGCUGUAAAAUUUAAAUAUCAACCAGUUUGAGUUUAAAUAUUUAUUUCAGUUAAUAAAGACCUCGUUUAGUCAAUUGAUUUGUUUGUGCUUUUUUAAAUUUAUACUAAUUUAUUUUUACAGGCCUCACUACAAAAUCGACUUCGAAAAAUUGAUGAUGACAUGUUAUUCUCUUCUAAAGUAUUUGAAAAUGUAAAGGAAAUGAGUCAUAUUUUAAAAACGUAAUUGAACAAAUGCGCCAAGCGUCAUUCGGGCAAAUCUGAUUGGCGAAUGUAUAUUAAAUAUUCAUGAGCUCUGCAUAGUGAAUGGAAGUUGGAAGUAAAUUAAGGCUUUAGCAAAAGCAACUGUGAAAACGAUGUUACUUAAAUAUGAAAAUCUAGAAGACAAGACUAUUAUGUUGCAUCAUGUCGUGUGCAUAUAUAGAAAAAAAAUGCAUUUUUUAAAUAAUUGGACCAUAUGCUGUAAUUACUGCACACUGCAGUUUGGGACUACAGCAGAAAUACGAAGCAGUUGCUAUUAUACUUUCAAAAUUCAAUCCAUCCGCCAUAAAACUUAACACUGAAGUGAAAGCGUGUUGUGGAUCUUUACCUCCUGACCAAAUUAGGAAAAGUCAGAUCCUUAGAAAUAUGCAAUAAAUCAGAUGAACCAAAUCUAUGUAUUUGGUUGUGUAUAUAUCAGCUAAUAAUGGAAAGAGGGCGCUUGUUACGCCUUUGGUUGGAUAGAAACAAAUCUUUUAAUUGGUGUCAGUAUUUGUCAUUAGGUUUAAAGAAUGUUUUCAUUCUUCGAUAAAUCAGGAUCAUUUGAGGUUUUAUUUAGAUCAUUUAUUUAAUUCCAGGAGGACGUAUUUGCCUAAUAAAUUAUACAUAGUGAGUGCGUAGUCGGCUGAUUGCAGUAAAGUAAACAUUCUUGUAGCCUUCCUCAUGAUCCCAAAUGUAUACAAACACUAUUUUCCUGGUACUGUUGUUUCUUAAUGCACAUUUAAGUCUCUGCUAGACAAAAUAUACCGAUAUACAUUUGUGGGAUUAAAUGAAGGCUUACAUUAAAAGGUUUAUUUUGGGUAGAAUGUUGGUUGUUGUUUGUUUAACAUACACAUUGU